Molecule: ribosomal RNA, 512 nt
Filed under: uncultured bacterium
Lineage: Bacteria
Description: partial 16S ribosomal RNA
Rfam family: Bacterial small subunit ribosomal RNA
Source: RNAcentral
GAUGAACGCUGGCGGCGUGCCUAAUACAUGCAAGUCGAACGAAACUUCUUUAUCACCGAAUGCUUGCACUCACCGAUAAAGAGUUGAGUGGCGAACGGGUGAGUAACACGUGGGCAACCUGCCCAAAAGAGGGGGAUAACACUUGGAAACAGGUGCUAAUACCGCAUAACCAUAGUUACCGCAUGGUAACUAUGUAAAAGGUGGCUAUACUACCGCUUUUGGAUGGGCCCGCGGCGCAUUAGCUAGUUGGUAGGGUAAAGGCUUACCAAGGCAAUGAUGCGUAGCCGAAUUGAGAGGUUGAUCGGCCACAUUGGGACUGAGACACGGCCCAAACUCCUACGGGAGGCAGCAGUAGGGAAUCUUCCACAAUGGGCGAAAGCCUGAUGGAGCAACGCCGCGUGGGUGAAGAAGGUCUUCGGAUCGUAAAACCCUGUUGUUAGAGAAGAAAGUGCGUGAGAGUAACUGUUCACGUUUCGACGGUAUCUAACCAGAAAGCCACUGCUAACUACGUG